RNAcentral lists this ribosomal RNA (303 nucleotides) under uncultured bacterium. RNAcentral's name for it is "bacterial SSU rRNA". It matches the Rfam family "Bacterial small subunit ribosomal RNA", at positions 355 to 672 of the family's 1533-position model. The record is from RNAcentral.
UGGGGAAUAUUGGACAAUGGGGGGAACCCUGAUCCAGCGACGCCGCGUGAGUGAAGAAGUAUUUCGGUAUGUAAAGCUCUAUCAGCAGGGAAGAAAGAAAUGACGGUACCUGACUAAGAAGCCCCGGCUAACUACGUGCCAGCAGCCGCGGUAAUACGUAGGGGGCAAGCGUUAUCCGGAUUUACUGGGUGUAAAGGGAGCGUAGACGGUUACGCAAGUCUGGAGUGAAAGGCGGGGGCCCAACCCCCGGACUGCUUUGGAAACUGUAUAACUGGAGUGCAGGAGAGGUAAGUGGAAUUCCUA